CCGACCGGCGCACGGGUGAGUAACACGUAUGCAAUCCACCUGUAACAGGGGGAUAACCCGGAGAAAUCCGGACUAAUACCCCAUAAUAUGGGCGCUCCGCAUGGAGAGUUCAUUAAAGAGAGCAAUUUUGGUUACAGACGAGCAUGCGCUCCAUUAGCCAGUUGGCGGGGUAACGGCCCACCAAGGCGACGAUGGAUAGGGGUUCUGAGAGGAAGGUCCCCCACAUUGGAACUGAGACACGGUCCAA
RNAcentral lists this ribosomal RNA (247 nucleotides) under uncultured bacterium. RNAcentral's name for it is "partial 16S ribosomal RNA". It matches the Rfam family "Bacterial small subunit ribosomal RNA", at positions 91 to 334 of the family's 1533-position model. The record is from RNAcentral.